Molecule: long non-coding RNA, 511 nt
Organism: Juglans regia (Persian walnut)
Lineage: Eukaryota; Viridiplantae; Streptophyta; Magnoliopsida; Fagales; Juglandaceae
Exons: 4
Source: RefSeq, a predicted model, not a curated record
CUAGUACUAGACAAUGUAACCUUUCUUUAAUUCUGUACUUUGUGUGUGUUGUCUGCCAAAGUUUUCAGAACUAUGGCUGGAAAUGCGCAAGGCAAAUUGGCUUCAUUUAUCACUCAUAUUGGAAUUGACAUCAGUACUUGGAUGAUGAAAUUUUUCAGCUUGGAUGCAAAACAGAAGGUUUUGAAUAUUUGAAGGAAAGGUGUUUGCUGAAUUGCCGCAGUGUGAGGACUAAAGAAAAGUCAUCGAAUUCCAUAGAGAUGAAGAUAAAAUGUGAUGAAAAGAGGUCCUUCAAUGGAGAAGCUGAGGCCAUUUCAGAAUCUGUAUUGUUUUCAUUUAAUUGUUAUUGUGGAGUAGUUGGUUGUAAUGUAAUUUGCAAUUUGUAGCUUGUUGUAAUACUCUUUCUUGGCAUGGAUUUUAUGUUCUAGCCCCGUGUUUACCACUGUAUGCCAAAACAUGAUAUUUGUGUGAUUGGUAAGUAAAUGUAAUGGUUGGAGACUCCAGAUUAGAUUUU